Molecule: non-coding RNA, 568 nt
Organism: Sander lucioperca (pikeperch)
Lineage: Eukaryota; Metazoa; Chordata; Actinopteri; Perciformes; Percidae
Source: the annotation of a RefSeq genome assembly
CCUUUCAAAGCCACUGACACACUGGCUGCACAAUGAUGAUGUCACUGAUUCUACUGCUGGUCACCCUGGGGCUCCUUGUUCAGGAUUCAUCAGGAGAAAUCAUCUUGACUCAGUCUCCUGGAUCUCAGUCUGUUGUUAAAGGACAGACUGUCUUUAUCAGAUGUAAAGCCAGUACACAAAUAGGUGAUGACAUUGACUGGUACCUUCAGAAACAUGGAGAAGCUCCUAAACUGCUGAUUGUGGAUACUACAGCCCGUCAGUCUGGAGUUUCAGAUCGUUUUAGUGCAACAGCGCAUCAGACUGACUUUACUUUGACCAUCAGUGGAGUUCAGACUGUAGAUGCAGGAGUUUAUUACUGUCAGCAGCAUAACAGCCGCCCGUUCACACAGUGAUACAACCUCGUACAAAAACCUCCUCAGCUGGAGAGGAACUGGUCUGACUCAACAGCUGCACAGAAACUAAACGACAACAACAUAUGACUAAUAUAUACUUUAUAGUUACAUGCAAUUCUAACAUAAUACACAGACAGAACUAACUUUUUUAAAACAUAUUUUAUUUGUAUUUACCA